This 139-nucleotide unclassified non-coding RNA is filed under the name uncultured Mortierellaceae. Its description in RNAcentral is "sequence contains ITS1". The record is from RNAcentral. Lineage: Eukaryota; Fungi; Mortierellomycota; Mortierellomycetes; Mortierellales; Mortierellaceae.
UAAUAAAAGUGAAAUAUAUAUAUGGCACUUUUAAAACAAUCCAUAUCCACCUUGUGUGCAAUGUUUUCUUAUAUUAUCAUCAACUCUUUGUAAUUAUUUUUUGUCUGAAGUAUUUUAUGAAUUACUUAAUUCAAAAAUA